UUUUUUUGGACCUGUGGGUCUCUGUCGGGUACCUAAAGUACCCUGAAUGUUUUGUUCAUAUUAUGUAUAUUUGAGUAAUUCAUAUAUGUUUUCAGUAUAAAAAUAUUAUUGUAAAAUUUGGAUUCGCAUUUUCUGUUAUAAUUUCAAGUUUUGGGUAAAAUUUCAAAAUAUAUUUAAAAUAUUGGAUAUUUUUGGUUUGUGGGUAAGAUUUUGGUCUUUUAGAUAUUUAGUUAUUUCUGGUAUUUUUUUUUUAUUUU
RNAcentral lists this long non-coding RNA (257 nucleotides) under Brassica rapa (field mustard). RNAcentral's name for it is "long non-coding RNA (BRAP_LNC002527)". The record is from RNAcentral. Lineage: Eukaryota; Viridiplantae; Streptophyta; Magnoliopsida; Brassicales; Brassicaceae.